This 68-nucleotide transfer RNA is filed under the name Luetkenotyphlus brasiliensis. RNAcentral describes it as "tRNA-Phe". Lineage: Eukaryota; Metazoa; Chordata; Amphibia; Gymnophiona; Siphonopidae. The record is from RNAcentral.
GUUUAUGUAGCUAAAAUAAAGCACGGCACUGAAGAUGCCAUGAUGAGACUAAUACUCCCCACUAAACA